AAGCUUCUAUGGAUGUGUUCAUUAUCAUGACAAUACUUCACUACUUUUCCAUCUUGUUGGAUUGAAUUAGACAAUCCAAUUCUUGCUAAAUGAGGUGAAACUGACCAUGAAAAACAUCAUUGUAGUAUCUUGUGGAGGACAUCCAUUUUAGUAAUGCAUCAGAUGAGCCUAAUGAAGUCUGCCUUGUAUGAGGUUUGAUUGGAGAAAAAAAAAAGAAUAGCAAGUGCAUUUUUAUAGCAUGUUACUUAUCACUGAUUGUUUUCUGUUUUUGGACAUGGUGGAAUGUUCUUAUAAUAGCAAUAUUUUUGUUUUUUUUUAAUGCUAGGCCAGUAAUCAAAGACUACCUUUAGCUGAUACAAAGCUAACUUCUGUUGUUUAAUUUCUAUAUUCUAUACAAGCCAUGUAAAGGAAUUUUACUUUUUGGCCCACCUGGUUUGUGGGCCAGCAAUUGGAAGACUACGUUGAGCUGAUAGAAAGCUAACUUCUGUUGUUUAUAUUCUAUUCUAUACCAGCCAUGUAAAGGAAUUUUACUUUUUGGCCCACCUGGUACGGGAAAGACAAUGCUUGCUAAGGCUGUGGCAACUGAGGCUGGUGCUAAUUUCAUAAACAUAUCAAUGUCAAGCAUCUCUUCGAAGGUACUUAUCAAUUAGAUAAGCCUCUGUUCUUUUGGGCAGUUUGAGUAUCUGCAUUAUAGCAUCUAAAUAACCUAUUUUCCAG
RNAcentral lists this long non-coding RNA (717 nucleotides) under Sorghum bicolor (sorghum). Its description in RNAcentral is "long non-coding RNA (SBIC_LNC001599)". Lineage: Eukaryota; Viridiplantae; Streptophyta; Magnoliopsida; Poales; Poaceae. The record is from RNAcentral.